UAAGAUCCAGCUCAUUAGAUGUUUGUAUUCCUUCUACUCGUUUGUGUUGUACCAACGGGCGGACCCACAUUGUCGAUAGUGGUGGCACUUCCCCAAGUAACAUAUAAAACUGAGAACAAUUAUUAUUAACCAAUGUUGUUUAAGUGGUGAUAUGGUUAAGUAAGUAUUCAAUAAAAGGUAGAGGUGCCACGUUCGAUUCCACCUUGCAACAUCUUUCCCCCAUUAAAUUAUUUUCUUGGGUCCGCCCGUGGUUGC
RNAcentral lists this long non-coding RNA (255 nucleotides) under Capsella rubella. Its description in RNAcentral is "long non-coding RNA (CRUB_LNC003153)". Lineage: Eukaryota; Viridiplantae; Streptophyta; Magnoliopsida; Brassicales; Brassicaceae. The record is from RNAcentral.